GAUCUCGCUGGCGAUGAGGCUCGCCUGAAACCGUCGGUUCACGACUGAUAGCCUCUGCCCCUGA
This 64-nucleotide non-coding RNA is filed under the name Thermanaerothrix daxensis. RNAcentral's name for it is "Fluoride sequence". It matches the Rfam family "Fluoride riboswitch aptamer (crcB RNA motif)". Lineage: Bacteria; Bacillati; Chloroflexota; Anaerolineae; Anaerolineales; Anaerolineaceae. The record is from Rfam by way of RNAcentral.